UACAUGGGGUGCAAACGUUGCUCGGAAUUAUUGGGCGUAAAGCGCACGUAGGCGGUUUGUUAAGUCGGAUGUGAAAUCCCUCGGCUCAACUGAGGAAGUGCACCCGAAACUGGCAGGCUUGAGUACUAAAGAGGGUCGCGGAAUUCCCGGUGUAGAGGUGAAAUUCGUAGAUAUCGGGAGGAACACCGGUGGCGAAGGCAGCGACCUGGGUAGAUACUGACGCUGAGGUGCGAAAGCGUGGGGAGCAAACAGG
This 253-nucleotide ribosomal RNA is filed under the name uncultured bacterium. Its description in RNAcentral is "partial 16S ribosomal RNA". It matches the Rfam family "Bacterial small subunit ribosomal RNA", at positions 524 to 776 of the family's 1533-position model. The record is from RNAcentral.